AGCGAACGCUGGCGGCAGGCUUAACACAUGCAAGUCGAGCGGGCAUCCUUGUGGUGUCAGCGGCAGACGGGUGAGUAACGCGUGGGAACGUGCCCUUCGGUUCGGAAUAACUCAGGGAAACUUGAGCUAAUACCGGAUACGCCCUUUUGGGGAAAGGUUUACUGCCGAAGGAUCGGCCCGCGUCUGAUUAGCUAGUUGGUGAGGUUAUGGCUCACCAAGGCGACGAUCAGUAACUGGUCGGAGAGGAUGAUCAGCCACACUGGGACUGAGACACGGCCCAGACUCCUACGGGAGGCAGCAGUGGGGAAUAUUGUACGAGGGGGGCAACCCUGAUCCAGCCAUGCCGCGUGAGUGAUGACGGCCUUAGGGUUGUAAAGCUCUUUUCGCCGGGACGAUAAUGACGGUACCGGAGGAAGAAGCCCCGGCUAACUUCGUG
RNAcentral lists this ribosomal RNA (436 nucleotides) under uncultured bacterium. Its description in RNAcentral is "partial 16S ribosomal RNA". It matches the Rfam family "Bacterial small subunit ribosomal RNA", at positions 29 to 507 of the family's 1533-position model. The record is from RNAcentral.